UUGCUCUGUAGUAAGCUUGAGGUCAG
Molecule: non-coding RNA, 26 nt
Filed under: Mus musculus (house mouse)
Lineage: Eukaryota; Metazoa; Chordata; Mammalia; Rodentia; Muridae
Source: RNAcentral